Molecule: long non-coding RNA, 531 nt
Filed under: Aquilegia coerulea
Lineage: Eukaryota; Viridiplantae; Streptophyta; Magnoliopsida; Ranunculales; Ranunculaceae
Description: long non-coding RNA (ACOE_LNC000486)
Source: RNAcentral
UCUCUCUCUCUAACACCACCGUUCACUACUACUUUUCUCUCUAACACCACCGUCCACCAUCCAUUACCACCUAUCUCUCCGAAAUUAAAAAUUUUAUAACAGAAUACCCAUUCUCAAAUGGGUUUUGUUCAACAUCAAUUCAAUUUAUUCCAACAACCAUUUCUUUUCCAACUUUCGAUUUCACAUAUCUCUUUGAGUGAAUGUAUGAAUAGAGCUGCAAUUUAGUAAUUGAUUUUAUGUUUGAAUUUAGGUUUGAAGAGAAUAAUAAUCGAUGAUCUAGAAGAGAAUUUUGAGGAUAUUUGAGUGUCGCCUUAAGAGAAUGGUGGUGGAAGAAGAUAAUGGCAGAGUUUGUUCAAAAAGGAAUAGUAAAAAUCAUGAAGAUGGAGAUGGAAUGGAGACAAAAAAAAAAAAAAAGGCAAGAUCUGGUGGUUAUGAUGAAUUAUAAAAGAUGUUGGUGUGCAGAGGUUUAAGAGGAUGGAAGUGCUUCAGUUGCUUCGAGAUCUUUGUUGUUUGUUAGAUUGAACCAACUAC